CACGGAAUUAGCCGGUCCUUAUUCAUAUGGUACAUGCAAUAAGGGACACGUCCCUCACUUUAUUCCCAUAUAAAAGCAGUUUACAACCCAUAGGGCCGUCAUCCUGCACGCUACUUGGCUGGUUCAGGCUCUCGCCCAUUGACCAAUAUUCCUCACUGCUGCCUCCCGUAGGAGUUUGGACCGUGUCUCAGUUCCAAUGUGGGGGACAUUCCUCUCAGAACCCCUACUGAUCGUUGCCUUGGUGGGCCUUUACCCCGCCAACAAGCUAAUCAGACGCAUCCCCAUCCAAUACCGAUAAAUCUUUCGUCGAAAUCUCAGGCGAUCAAACGACUACAUAGGGCAUUAGGCCAACUUUCGCUGGGUUAUUCCCUAGUAAUGGGUAGGUUGGAUACGCGUUACUCACCCGUGCGCCGGUCGCCAUCAUAAAUUGCAAGCAAUCUAUAUGCUGCCCCUCGACUUGCAUGUGUUAAGCCUAUAGCUAGCGUUCAUCCUGAGCCA
RNAcentral lists this ribosomal RNA (498 nucleotides) under uncultured Prevotella sp. Its description in RNAcentral is "partial 16S ribosomal RNA". The record is from RNAcentral. Lineage: Bacteria; Pseudomonadati; Bacteroidota; Bacteroidia; Bacteroidales; Prevotellaceae.